RNAcentral lists this ribosomal RNA (509 nucleotides) under uncultured bacterium. RNAcentral describes it as "partial 16S ribosomal RNA". It matches the Rfam family "Bacterial small subunit ribosomal RNA", at positions 28 to 523 of the family's 1533-position model. The record is from RNAcentral.
GACGAACGCUGGCGGCGUGCUUAACACAUGCAAGUGGAGCGACUAAGCGGGCUUCGGCCCGUGGCAAAGCCGCGAACGGGUGAGUAACACGUGGGUAACCUGCCCUGAUGACCGGGACAACCCGAGGAAACUCGGGCUAAUACCGGAUGUGGUCCAUACACAUGAGUGGUUGGACUAAAGGUAGCUUCGGCCUCCGCAUCAGGAUGGGCCGGCGGCGCAUUAGCUUGUUGGUGAGGUAAUGGCUUACCAAGGCGACGAUGCGUAGCUGGUCUGAGAGGACUAUCAGCCACACUGGGACUGAGACACGGCCCAGACUCCUACGGGAGGCAGCAGUGGGGAAUCUUGCGCAAUGCGCGAAAGCGUGACGCAGCAACGCCGCGUGAGGGAAGACGGCUUUCGGGUUGUAAACCUCUUUCAGGAGGGACGAAGCCUGGCUGGUGAAUAGCCUGUCCAGGUGACGGUACCUCCACAAGAAGCCCCGGCUAACUACGUGCCAGCCGCCGCAGUAA